GAUUAACGAGGGAGGCGGGAAGAACACAUGCAAGUCGAACGAUGAAACUUAACUGAUUUCUUCGGAAUGAUUUUAAGUGGAUUAGUGGAGGACGGGUGAGUAACGCGUGAGUAACCUGACUAGGUGAAGGGGAUAGCCCUUGGAAACGAAGAAUAAUACUCCAUGAUAUGAUAAUAUCUAAUGCUAUUAUCAUCAAAGAUUUAUCGCACUAAGAUGGACUUGCGUCUGAUUAGUUAGUUGGUGAGGUAACAGCUCACCAAGGCAGCGAGCAGUAGCCGGCUUGAGAGAGUGUACAGCCACAUUGAGACUGAGCCACGGCCCAUACUCGUACGAGAGGCAGCAGUUAUGAAUUUUGCACAAGGAGGGAAACCCUGAUGCGGCGACUCCGCGUGAUUUGGAAGGCCUUCGUGUUGUAAAUAUCUUUUGUAUGAGAAGAGACUGACAGUACCAUACGAAUAAGGACCGGCUAAUUACGUG
This 477-nucleotide ribosomal RNA is filed under the name uncultured bacterium. RNAcentral's name for it is "partial 16S ribosomal RNA". It matches the Rfam family "Bacterial small subunit ribosomal RNA", at positions 28 to 507 of the family's 1533-position model. The record is from RNAcentral.